AUUGCCUCAGUACGGCGAGUGAGCGGCAAAAGCUCAAAUUUGAAAUCUGCGUAAGCCGAGUUGUAAUUUGAAGAUGGCUACUUUGGUAAUGGCUCUUGUCUAUGUUCCUUGGAACAGGACGUCACAGAGGGUGAGAAUCCCGUGCGAUGAGAUGUCCAUUACCGUGUAAAGUGCUUUCGAAGAGUCGAGUUGUUUGGGAAUGCAGCUCUAAGUGGGUGGUAAAUUCCAUCUAAAGCUAAAUAUUGGCGAGAGACCGAUAGCGAACAAGUACAGUGAUGGAAAGAUGAAAAGAACUUUGAAAAGAGAGUGAAAAAGUACGUGAAAUUGUUGAAAGGGAAGGGCUUGAGAUCAGACUUGGUAUUUUGUAUGGCUUGCUUUCGGGCGGGUCCUCUGCAGUUUACUGGGCCAGCAUCGGUUUGGGUGGCAGGAUAAUAGCAUAGGAAUGUGGCUCUACUUCGGUGGAGUGUUAUAGCCUUUGUUGAUACUGCCUGCCUAGACCGAGGACUGCGUCUUUUGACUAGGAUGCUGGCAUAAUGAUCCUAAGCCGCCCGUCUUGAAACCACGGACCA
RNAcentral lists this ribosomal RNA (569 nucleotides) under Fermentozyma sake. Its description in RNAcentral is "eukaryotic LSU rRNA". It matches the Rfam family "Eukaryotic large subunit ribosomal RNA", at positions 74 to 668 of the family's 3401-position model. The record is from RNAcentral. Lineage: Eukaryota; Fungi; Ascomycota; Pichiomycetes; Serinales; Debaryomycetaceae.